AACGUAGGUUCCGAGCGUUAUCCGGAUUUACUGGGCGUAAAGCGCGUUCAGGCGGUUUGGCAAGUCGGGCAUGAAAUCUCUCGGCUCAACCGGGAGAGGUUGUCCGAUACUGCUGGACUUGAGGGCAGUAGAGGGUGGUGGAAUUCCUGGUGUAGCGGUGAAAUGCGCAGAUAUCAGGAGGAACACCAAUGGCGAAGGCAGCUCACUGGGACGGUAUUGACGCUGAGACGCGAAAGCGUGGGGAGCAAACAGG
This 253-nucleotide ribosomal RNA is filed under the name uncultured bacterium. RNAcentral describes it as "partial 16S ribosomal RNA". It matches the Rfam family "Bacterial small subunit ribosomal RNA", at positions 524 to 776 of the family's 1533-position model. The record is from RNAcentral.